GGAAUUGUGCCUGAAUAAAGGACCACUUUGAUAGAGUGUUUAAAGAGGGUUAGAACCCCCCCAACUCCU
RNAcentral lists this transfer RNA (69 nucleotides) under Gyrinomimus sp. UW 113191. RNAcentral describes it as "tRNA-Ile". It matches the Rfam family "tRNA". Rfam says of the family: Transfer RNA (tRNA) molecules are approximately 80 nucleotides in length. The record is from RNAcentral. Lineage: Eukaryota; Metazoa; Chordata; Actinopteri; Beryciformes; Cetomimidae.